AGCAGCCGCGGUAAUCCCAGCUCCAAUAGCGUAUAUUAAAGUUGUUGCAGUUAAAAAGCUCGUAGUUGAAUUUUGGGUUUGGCCGAUUGGUCCGUUCUUGUAACGAGUACUGGUCGGUUGGGCCUCACCGCCUGGUGAUGCGUAAUGUUCUUAAUUGAGUGUUGCGAGCAGCCAGGACCUUUACCUUGAAAAAAUUAGAGUGUUUAAAGCAGGCUUAUGCCGGAAUACAUUAGCAUGGAAUAAUAGAAUAGGACGAUGAUUCUAUUUUGUUGGUUUCUAGGACCAUCGUAAUGAUUAAUAGGGAUAGUUGGGGGCAUUAGUAUUCAAUUGUCAGAGGUGAAAUUCUUGGAUUUAUUGAAGACUAACUACUGCGAAAGCAAUUUGCCAAGGAUGUUUUCAUUAAUCAAGAACGAAAGUUAGGGGAUCGAAGACGAUCAGAUACCGUCGUAGUCUUAACCAUAAACUAUGCCGACUAGGGAUCGGGCGAUGUUGUUUCAAUGACUCGCUCGGCACCUUACGG
This 520-nucleotide ribosomal RNA is filed under the name uncultured Archaeospora. RNAcentral describes it as "SSU rRNA". It matches the Rfam family "Eukaryotic small subunit ribosomal RNA", at positions 569 to 1093 of the family's 1831-position model. The record is from RNAcentral. Lineage: Eukaryota; Fungi; Glomeromycota; Glomeromycetes; Archaeosporales; Archaeosporaceae.